Molecule: long non-coding RNA, 365 nt
Filed under: Mytilus galloprovincialis (Mediterranean mussel)
Lineage: Eukaryota; Metazoa; Mollusca; Bivalvia; Mytilida; Mytilidae
Source: RNAcentral
AUAAGUUUUAAAAAAGUGGCAGUUAUUUCAUGACAAAACUGAACCUUAUAUUGACUUGUACUGAAAAAAAAUCAAAAUACCUUUAAUUGCAUGUUAGAGCGUACUGGUUCCUUGAAGUUUGAUAGUAUAAAAUCAGGAACUUCUUAACUGAACAACAGGCCAAAUGUGCCCAAAUAAUUACACCAGGGUUUUCGAUAUAACAAACUAGACAAAACAUUUACUAAAUUUUAUCGUCGGUACAAGGAUAUCAUUCCUAAAUAUAGCUCUGGCCUUUGUUAGUAUUGUAUGAUUUUUAAUUUAAGUUUCUUGUGUAUAAUUUGGCGUUUAGAAUGGCGUUCAUUAUCACUGUACUAGUAUACAUAUUU